GUCUCGGUAGCUUAAUGGAUAACGCGCGCGCGCGUUGGACUUCUAAUCCAAAGGUCGUGGGCUCGAAUCCCACCUGGGAUG
Non-coding RNA from Trichonephila clavipes, 81 nucleotides. Lineage: Eukaryota; Metazoa; Arthropoda; Arachnida; Araneae; Nephilidae. The record is from the annotation of a GenBank genome assembly.